CAAUUACUUAGCAAGCAAGCACGUCAUGAUAAACACGUCUUCCUUUAGAUGACAGUGAUUUUUUGUGUUACAAACCUUUCACUGGUCGACGGUUGAAGCUUCAAAUAUUCGAUCUUUCAGAUCUCUUAACGUUCUGAUAAGUUAAGCGUCAAAUGGCUUCGUCCGUUGAGUUCAUACGUGGCAAAAUAUUUUGGGCAACUGAAUUUAAAACAUUAAAAGUUAAUUGUCAUGUAAAAGCAAAGAUACGGCCUUAUGAUUUUUAUUGUUUUUAUUAA
Molecule: long non-coding RNA, 275 nt
Organism: Xenia sp. Carnegie-2017
Lineage: Eukaryota; Metazoa; Cnidaria; Anthozoa; Malacalcyonacea; Xeniidae
Exons: 2
Source: RefSeq, a predicted model, not a curated record